This 1134-nucleotide long non-coding RNA is filed under the name Elaeis guineensis (African oil palm). RNAcentral's name for it is "long non-coding RNA (EGUI_LNC073449)". Lineage: Eukaryota; Viridiplantae; Streptophyta; Magnoliopsida; Arecales; Arecaceae. The record is from RNAcentral.
CAAUCUCUGAAGUCGGUCUUGGUAUGAACUCUAAAGUCGGUCUUGGUAUGGCCCCCAAGCCAAAAAUGGUACUGGUGUAAUAUGGUACGCCCAGUUUGGGACGGUACACAACGGUAUGGGAAUCAUGUUUCCUAGUUUAUUUUGCAAAAUAUAACUCCCACCCUACCUAAAGGUUAAAGCCAAAGGUGCUACCAUAAUAUAUUGAAGAAUAUUUUGUUAGUUCAACAAAUAACCUUUCUGCACUGCUAACCACAACUUGAUGACUAUUUUUCUUUUUAUAAGCAGCUUCCAGAAAAACAAGCCCAAUACAGAUAAGAAAUGCCAACAAGCUAGGCAAAUGCGUUAAAAAAUGGGAUUUGUAGUAGGACUAAAGAAAGCGCUAAGGGAGGACAAGGAGUGAAGUACAGAUAAAAAUAGUAUAAUCAUGUCUAAAUAAAAUUCUAUGGGCAUAGCAAGGCUCAAAAGGAAGAGGGAUUUCACUUGUUUACAAGAAUUGAUUCUAAAGAGAGAGAAUUUGAGAAAACUGGACUACAUUAGAAAUUAAGAAGCCUGAAAAUGUUCUUGAGACAAUAAUUCUUCAUAAAAGUCAUGCAUACUUUACCCAAAUGCAUUGGACAAUGUCCUGUCAAUUACAUUUAUGUUGACAGACAUAUCUCCUGCCAAAUCCCUUCCAUUAUGCAACAACUAAUUUCUCACACAGUCUAAUUAUAGAAGCCAAUAACAUAAGGAACUCCCAUAAGAGAUGAGAUAGAUAGAGACAGACACUGACAGACAGACAGAAAGGAAAAGGGAAAAACAGAAAACAUACCUACAGUAAACUUAAUUCCUGUUCAUUUUGUAAACGAACAAUCCUUGCUGGUGAUUUCCAAACAAUUAAUAAUAUAUCAAAUACAGCACGAUUACCAUGCAAACAUUCAGGCAUUAAUUCAGUACUUGUGUAUGUUUGUCACACUGAAAAAAGUUAUGAUAGAAACAUAUAGCUAGAUGAAAAAUUUGCUAGUUAGCUUCUUGUCAAUGCCUGUAGCCAUGCAUGCAUAUGAAUAAAUAUGAAAUCUUUACAAAAAUUAUGCAAGCAAACCGUGUCAAACACCAUCAAGAAAAAUCACAUCUAUGAGAAGGCUCCUACAAUCCCAA